AACGAACGCUGGCGGCAGGCCUAACACAUGCAAGUCGAGCGCCCUUUCGGGGGAGCGGCGGACGGGUGAGUAACGCGUGGGAAUAUGCCCUUCUCUACGGAAUAGCCUCGGGAAACUGAGAGUAAUACCGUAUACGCCCUGUGGGGGAAAGAUUUAUCGGGGAAGGAUUAGCCCGCGUUGGAUUAGGUAGUUGGUGGGGUAAUGGCCUACCAAGCCGACGAUCCAUAGCUGGUUUGAGAGGAUGAUCAGCCACACUGGGACUGAGACACGGCCCAGACUCCUACGGGAGGCAGCAGUGGGGAAUCUUAGACAAUGGGGGCAACCCUGAUCUAGCCAUGCCGCGUGAGUGAUGAAGGCCUUAGGGUUGUAAAGCUCUUUCAGCUGGGAAGAUAAUGACGGUACCAGCAGAAGAAGCCCCGGCUAACUCUGUG
RNAcentral lists this ribosomal RNA (431 nucleotides) under uncultured bacterium. RNAcentral's name for it is "partial 16S ribosomal RNA". It matches the Rfam family "Bacterial small subunit ribosomal RNA", at positions 29 to 507 of the family's 1533-position model. The record is from RNAcentral.